This 1083-nucleotide ribosomal RNA is filed under the name Cymindis stevensi. RNAcentral's name for it is "eukaryotic LSU rRNA". It matches the Rfam family "Eukaryotic large subunit ribosomal RNA", at positions 93 to 802 of the family's 3401-position model. The record is from RNAcentral. Lineage: Eukaryota; Metazoa; Arthropoda; Insecta; Coleoptera; Carabidae.
GCGAACAGGGAGGAGCCCAGCACUGAAGCCUAUAGUUGUUAACCAAUUAUCGGGCAAUGUAGUGUUUGGGAGAGCCCAUUUAACCUGAAUAUUUACAAGCGAGUCCAAGUCCUUCUUGAAGGGGGCCAUUCGCCCAUAGAGGGUGCCAGGCCCGUAGUGACCGUUUGUAUAUUUGGGUGGGUUUCUCCUUAGAGUCGGGUUGCUUGAGAAUGCAGCUCUAAGUGGGUGGUAAACUCCAUCUAAGGCUAAAUAUGACUGCGAAACCGAUAGCGAACAAGUACCGUGAGGGAAAGUUGAAAAGAACUUUGCAGAGAGAGUUCAAGAGUACGUGAAACUGUUCAGGGGUAAACCUGUGAUGCCCGAAAGUUCGAACGGGGAGAUUCAAUUGUCUCACCGGUUACAACCAUUUAACGGUGUUAAUUAUUGUAUUAUUGAGACAUAUAUAUGGUCUGCGGUUCGCCCGUAGUCCGUUAUAUAGGCUCCGCUGUUUUAUGUUUUAUAGUUUGUAACCGGAGGCGUGCACUUCUCCCCUUGUAGAACGUCAUGACUCAUUGGGAUAUUGGUUUUAUUGGGUGUCUUAAGGCUCAUAAUGGAGACCGUAGUUACAAGCCGAGAGGUUUGACAAACCGGACUUUAUGAUGUCCCGACAUCUACCCGAUGGUAUAAUUAUAAUGAUAGAUCGCUAUAAUAUGAAUUUAUUGUAGUAAGAGCGUUCAGAUCUGUGACAAAUACUUAUAUUAUAAUUUGUAUUACCGUGUGGAAAUCGGUGCUAUAUUGGCCGACACUGCACAUAUAAUAUUGUUAGUCAUAGUAUUCUCGAACUGUUCUUUAUCAUUAGUCAAUGGCGUUUAUGUUUUGGGUAAUUACAGGACCCGUCUUGAAACACGGACCAAGGAGUCUAGCAUAUGCGCGAGUCUUUGGGACUCUUAUAAUAAACCUAAAGGCGCAAUGAAAGUGAAUUAUUUUUCAUGAAAAAUUUAUUUUUCAUAUAUGUAUUAUAUAAGGGAAGAUGGAUAACGAUUUUGUUAUCUCGCAUUCCCGGGGCGUCGCGUACUCAUUGCGAGUUGCGGCGCACCAAGAGCG